This 228-nucleotide ribosomal RNA is filed under the name uncultured bacterium. RNAcentral describes it as "partial 16S ribosomal RNA". It matches the Rfam family "Bacterial small subunit ribosomal RNA", at positions 568 to 795 of the family's 1533-position model. The record is from RNAcentral.
UCCGUAGGUAGAUAAUUAAGUCAGAGGUGAAAUCCUGCAGCUCAACUGUAGAAUUGCCUUUGAUACUGGUUAUCUUGAGUCAUUAUGAAGUGGUUAGAAUGUGUAGUGUAGCGGUGAAAUGCAUAGAUAUUACACAGAAUACCGAUUGCGAAGGCAGAUCACUAAUAAUGUACUGACACUGAGGGACGAAAGCGUGGGGAGCGAACAGGAUUAGAUACCCUGGUAGUC